UACGAAGGGGGCUAGCGUUGUUCGGAAUUACUGGGCGUAAAGCGCACGUAGGCGGAUAUUUAAGUCAGGGGCGAAAUCCCGGGGCUCAACCCCGGAACUGCCUUUGAUACUGGAUAUCUUGAGUUCGGAAGAGGUAAGUGGAAUUGCGAGUGUAGAGGUGAAAUUCGUAGAUAUUCGCAGGAACACCAGUGGCGAAGGCGGCUUACUGGUCCGAUACUGACGCUGAGGUGCGAAAGCGUGGGGAGCAAACAGG
RNAcentral lists this ribosomal RNA (253 nucleotides) under uncultured bacterium. Its description in RNAcentral is "partial 16S ribosomal RNA". It matches the Rfam family "Bacterial small subunit ribosomal RNA", at positions 524 to 776 of the family's 1533-position model. The record is from RNAcentral.